This 274-nucleotide ribosomal RNA is filed under the name uncultured bacterium. RNAcentral describes it as "partial 16S ribosomal RNA". It matches the Rfam family "Bacterial small subunit ribosomal RNA", at positions 523 to 796 of the family's 1533-position model. The record is from RNAcentral.
AUACGGAGGGUGCUAGCGUUGUUCGGAAUUACUGGGCGUAAAGGGCGCGUAGGCGGACGAUCAAGUCAGAGGUGAAAGCCCUGGGCUCAACCUGGGAACUGCCUUUGAAACUGAUCGUCUAGAGGCCGGAAGAGGAUGACGGAAUUCCCAGUGUAGAGGUGAAAUUCGUAGAUAUUGGGAAGAACACCGGUGGCGAAGGCGGUCAUCUGGUCCGGUACUGACGCUGAGGCGCGAAAGCGUGGGGAGCAAACAGGAUUAGAUACCCUAGUAGUCC